This 460-nucleotide ribosomal RNA is filed under the name uncultured bacterium. RNAcentral's name for it is "SSU rRNA". It matches the Rfam family "Bacterial small subunit ribosomal RNA", at positions 26 to 518 of the family's 1533-position model. The record is from RNAcentral.
AGAAUCAACGCUGGCGGCGUGCCUAACACAUGCAAGUCGAACGAGAAAGUGGAGCAAUCCAUGAGUACAGUGGCGACCGGGUGAGUAACACGUGACUACCUACCCUUGAGUGGGGGAUAACCUCGGGAAACCGAGGCUAAUACCGCAUAAUAUCGAGAGAUCAAAGGAGUAAUCCGCUUUUGGAGGGGGUCGCGGCUGAUUAGCUAGUUGGUAGGGUAAUGGCCUACAAAGGCGAAGAUCGGUAUCCGGCCUGAGAGGGCGCACGGACACACUGGAACUGAAACACGGUCCAGACUCCUACGGGAGGCAGCAGUGGGAAUUUUGCGCAAUGGGGGAAACCCUGACGCAGCAACGCCGCGUGGAGGAUGAAAGCCCCUUGGGGUGUAAAACUCCUUUCGACCGGGAAAAUAAUGAUGGUACCGGUGGAAGAAGCACCGGCUAACUCUGUGCCAGCAGCCGC